This 821-nucleotide long non-coding RNA is filed under the name Malus domestica (apple). RNAcentral describes it as "long non-coding RNA (MDOM_LNC004422)". Lineage: Eukaryota; Viridiplantae; Streptophyta; Magnoliopsida; Rosales; Rosaceae. The record is from RNAcentral.
CUGCCUCUUCACUUCCUCUCACAAAAUCGAUUGCAAAUCUUAAAAUCAAAACACAUAGCAAGAAAGAGAUUGAAGGAGGCGAGGUGCAUGUGUGAUUGGCUCGAAAGUAGAAGAUGAGGAUUGGAUCUGGUUUUGGUUUUCUGGGUGAAAUUUUCAAGCUCAUCCCACUGCAAAUUUUUUUUUGGUUUUCUUGGUUAUCUGGGUUCGAAUUUUGGGAGUUGGAUCUGGUUUUGAAAAGGGAACCUUAGGAAAUUUUGUUGCUUUUUUUGUUUCGGAUUUUGUAGGAUCUGGGUUUGAAAUGGGUUGUGGGACGCGAGGAAGAGGUAGAUGGGAGGACGAAGCGGGUAGGAGUGAAGCGAGUAGAGCGGUCUUAGCAGUCCGCCCAAUUUCGGGGGGCCCCGCUAAGACCCUGUAGCGAAGCUGUUAGUCGGACUCAGUCUAGGCGAGUCUCAUUAAACGUAGUCCCCGCGUGAAACAAACACUGGAUUACAAUCCAGUCUAAUCCAAGAAAGUUUAGUGAAACCAAACAAACGGGCUCUACAUUCAUUUUUAACUGUGAUGUUGAUUUAUGCUUGGUAUGACUUUUAUCUAUAUGGAACUAAUGAUAUUGUUGGCGAGUCCUUGUAGUACCAUAAUCAAGGCAACUUUAAAGGAGUAGUGGUACAAUAUGAUGAUCCUUGUCACAGCUACAGAUCGAGAAGGUUCCAAUCCAUCGAAUAGAGCAAUGCCAUACUGCCACUGCAUGUGAGAUUUACAUCAGAACCUUUAAAAAGAAUGUCGACAACACUUAAAUACGUCGGGGGGAGGGGGGACUUUAACUU